UGGUUCAUUGGUAGAAUUCUUGCCUUCCAUACAGGAGACCUGGGUUCAAUUCCCAG
Molecule: transfer RNA, 56 nt
Filed under: Loxodonta africana (African savanna elephant)
Lineage: Eukaryota; Metazoa; Chordata; Mammalia; Proboscidea; Elephantidae
Rfam family: tRNA
About the family: Transfer RNA (tRNA) molecules are approximately 80 nucleotides in length. Their secondary structure includes four short double-helical elements and three loops (D, anti-codon, and T loops).
Source: Rfam by way of RNAcentral